Molecule: long non-coding RNA, 896 nt
Filed under: Daphnia pulicaria
Lineage: Eukaryota; Metazoa; Arthropoda; Branchiopoda; Diplostraca; Daphniidae
Description: uncharacterized LOC124343846, transcript variant X2
Source: RNAcentral
UUCUAUUUUUUUAACUAUUACAGCGCAUUGUCUAUCUAUAAAUUGUGGCCAAUGGUGAAGUUGUUGUGCUAGGGGAAAAUCAUAAAAUAAAUCACUGAAUCCAGUCAGCAGCAUGGAAUACGGUUUUUGAAGGACUAAGGACAUCAAAAGUACCAUCCCUAUUGACAGAAACAUCAUUCAUAGUCUUAAUAACUAGGGAAAGGUAAUACCGAGAACGGGGCGAGAUCUGUCCAACCUUCGAAAACUCUUGUGGAAAUCAAAGUCCGAUUCUGCCAGGAUGAUUUUCGGAGUUGCAGUCAGGCAAUUUCAAUAGGAGCUUGACGAAAUUACAUCACCAAUAGCCCUAUUCGUUUUCGACACUGGAAAGACCGCCAAACGCCCGAAAAUAACCAUUUACGAUGAAUGACAAUGCUUUCUUCACCAAGAAAAACCGUAAAUAUUUUUAUCACUUUCAGUCCGUAUUAAUUACGUUACUGGAAAGUGUGGCAUGACGUGCGACACGAGGUGGAGGGCCAAUGGAAUCCAUUUGUCUUGUGUAGCCGGCACUUUGAUUCUGUAGAAAACAUUUCUAUUUUUAAAAUGGAAUCCUAGUAGUGACUUUUCUCUUACUGUUAUAUCGAUCAGAUUACUAGACUUCAUGCACCUUGGACGUCAGAGUCUAACCAAGAGGUUUUGCUUCCGGAGCAGAAGAGAAAGUCAUUCGAGUUUUCGAAGCACAUCACAAUUUUCUACAGAAAUUUGCCCGGAUCUGUCGUAUUCAUCAGCCAAUCCCAGAAAGUAAUAUUUUCUAUCGACUUUCCCACAUACCUAUUCUAAUUUUUAUUGAAGCAUGCUGGGUGUUCCUCAGGGUGAUCCUGUUCAAGUCUUGUGUCUUUCCAAUAAACCCGUUUACCAUA